Esox lucius (northern pike) is the source of this 2004-nucleotide long non-coding RNA. The record is from Ensembl. NCBI's taxonomy places the organism in Eukaryota, Metazoa, Chordata, Actinopteri, Esociformes, Esocidae.
GUCUGGUUGAAAAGCUCCUCUAACUCAUACUGCUGUUGGGCCUCCUGGCUGAACAAGUCAUCCAUCUGCUGCUGCACCUCCUGUUGCUCACUAUCCUCCUGCUCCUCCUCUCGCUUCCUAUGCUCCUUCUCCUUCAUCUCCUCCAGCUCCUCCUUCCCCUUAUGCUGCUCCUCCAGCAUUUCCUGCAGCUCUUUAACCUUCUGCUCCUCCUUCACAUUCUGCUUCUCAUUAUCCUCCUGCUCCUUCUUCAGCUUUCCCAGCAGUACCUCCUUCACUUCCUCCGGUUCUUCCUUCAAAUCCUGCUGCAAUUUAACCUCCUGUUGCUGCUCUUUCAUCAAUUGUUCCUCUUUUACCUCUUGUCUCUUAAAAUCCUUAUGCUCCUCAACUUUCUGCUCCUCCUUCACCUCCUGCUUCCCCUUCACCUCCUGCUGCCCCUCCAGCAUUUCUUGCUUCUCCUUUAUCUCAUCCUGCCACUCCUCCAGAUUCCCCUGCUGCUCCUGCGUCACCUCAUGCAGCCCAGGAGUAGGUGUAAAAUACUGUAAUGUAGUUUCUGAUAUAGCCGAUGGGUGGUCAGCAGGUAUGACUUUUGUGGUUGUUUUGAGAUAAAAGUAACGCCUGAACCCUGUGGUCGGGUGGGGGUUAAAGUCAGGGCUCACAUCUGUGGUCGGGUCGGGGUUAAAGUUAUGCCUGAGCCCUGUUGUUGGGUGGGGGUUAAAGUUAGUGCUCAGAUCUGUGGUCUUUUUGGUGUUAGUGUCAAAAGUAAGACCAAGACCUGUGGUUAUGUAUGGGUUAGGGUUAAGGCUACGACUAAGUUCUGUGGUUGUAUUUGAGUUAAUUUUAGGGCUGAUAUUUGCAGUUGUCUUUGGUUUAAGAUCGAGGCUAAGAAUAGGAUAUGUGGUUGUAUUGGAGUUAGGAUCAAGGCUAAGAAUAGGAUGUGUGGUAGUAUUGGAGUUAGGAUCAAGGCUAAGAAUAGGAUAUGUGGUUGUAUUGGAGUUAGGAUCAAGGUUAAGAAGGGGAUGUGUGGUUGUGUCAGGAUUAAGAAUGGGAUGUGUGGUGGUGUUGGGGUUAAGGUCAAGGUUAAGAAUGGGAUGUGUGGUUGUGUCAGGAUUAAGAAUGGGAUGUGUGGUUGUGUUGGGGUUAAGAUCGAGGCUAAUAAUAGGAUGUGUGGUUGUGUCGGGAUUAAGGUUAAGAAGGGGAUGUGUGUUUGUGUCAGGAUUAAGAAUGGGAUGUGUGUUUGUGUUGUGGUUAAGAUCAAGGCUAAUAAUAGGAUGUGUGGUUGUGUCGGGGUUAAGGUUAAGAAUGGGAUAUGUGGUUUUGUUGGGGUUAAGAUCAAAGUUAAGAAGGGGAUGUGUGUUUGUGUCAGGAUUAAGAAUGGGAUGUGUGGUUGUGUUGGGGUUAAGAUUGAGGCUAAUAAUUGGAUGUGUGGUUGUGUCGGGGUUAAGGUUAAGAAUGGGAUGUGUGGUUUUGUUGGGGUUAAGAAUGGGAUGUGUGGUUGUGUUGGGGUUAAGAUCGAGGCUACGAAUAGGAUGUGUGAUUGUGUCAGGGUUAAGAAUGGGAUGUGUGGGUGUGUCAGGGUUAAGAAUAGGAUGUGUGGUUGUGUUGGGGUUAAGAUCAAGACUAAGAAUAGGCUGUGUGGUUGUGAUGUGGUUAAGAUCAAGGUUAAGAAUGGGAUGUGUGGUUGUGUUGGGGUUAAGAUCAAGGUUAAGAAUGGGAUGUGUGGUUGUGUUGGGGUUAUGGUUGGCAUUGAGACCUGUGGUUGUAUUUGGGUUAUGGUUAGGGAUGAGCUUAGUCGUCAUGUUGGGGUUGGAGUUGGUCACAUUAGAGUUAAUGUUAGGGCUGAGUUCUGUGGUCAUGUUGGGGUUAAUGUUAGGGCUGAGUUCUGUGGUCAUGUUGGGGUUAAAGUUAGGGCUGAGUUCUGUGGUCAUGUUGGGGUUAAAGUUUGGAAAUCGGGUGAUUGACAGGACUGUUUCUUGGCUACUAUUUGCUGUCAGUGGAUCUGAAAGA